CUGGAUUCAGUGGGAAGGAUCCAGAUGAGAACGAGGCGGACCCUCCGAGGCCAUUUAGCCAAAAUCUACGCCAUGCACUGGGCCACAGAUUCCAGGGCUUGUGGGAGAAGACACAAUUGUUUGAUGGAGCGGGUGUACAGUGUGUUUGUGUAAAUUGUGAUUUAAAUGAAGGAUUUAAAUGCUACAGUACAUGCUGAACAUAUGCUGUUCAGUCACAACUGUUAUCCACCCUCACCCUCUUUCAAACUUAUUUGUUUAAUCUGUUAUAGGGCUUAGCGAUAUGGCUACAAAAAUUACAUUUUUAUAUUUUUAAUCUUAUUGAUGACAUUCUACAGUUGAAGUCAGAAGUUUACAUACACCUUAACCAAAUACAUUUAAACUCCGUUUUUCAUAAUUCCUGACAUUUAAUCGUAGAAAACAUUCUCUGUCUUAGGUCAGUUAGGAUCACUACUUUAUUUUAAGAAUGUGAAAUGUCAGAAUAAUAGUAGAGAGAAUGAUUUCAGCUUUUAUUUAUUUCAUCACAUUCCCAGUGGGUCAGAAGUUUACAUACACUGUUAGUAUUUGGUAGCAUUGCCUUUAAAUUGUUUAACUUGGGUCAAACCUUUUGGGUAGCCUUCCACAAGCUUCUCAUAAUAAGUUGCUGUAAUUUUGGCCCAUUCCUCCAGACAGAACAGGUGUAACUGAGUCAGGUUUGUAGGCCUCCUUGCUUGCACAUGCUUUUUCAGUUCUGCCCACAAAUUUUAUAUUUGAUUGAGGUCAGGACUUUGUGAUGGCCACUCCAGUGCCUUGACUUUGUUGUCCUUAAGCCAUUUUGCCACAACUUUGGAGGUAUGCUUGGGGGUCAUUGUCCAUUUGGAAGACCUAUUUGCGACUGAGCUUUAACUUACUGGCUGAUGUCUUGAGACGUUGCUUCAAUAUAUCCACGUAAUUUUCCGACCUCAUGAUGCCAUCUGUUUUGUGAAGUGCACCAGUCCCUCCUGCAGCAAAGCACCCCCACAACAUGAUGCCGCCACCCCCAUGCUUCACGGAUGGGAUGGUGUUCUUCGGCUUGCAAGCCUCACCCUUUUGGAGCAGUGGCUUCUUCCUUGCUGAGCAGCCUUUCAGGUUAUUUUGAUAUAGGUCAUGUUUUACUGUGGAUAUAGAUACUUGUCUGCCUGUUUCCUCCAGCAUCUUCACAAGGUCCUUUGCUGUUGUUCUGGGAUUGAUUUGCACUUUUCGCACCAAACUAUGUUCAUCUCUAGGAGACAGAAUGUGUCUCCUUCCUGAGCGGUAUGAUGGCUGUGUGGUCCCAUGGUGUUUGAUGAGCGUGGUACCUGUUUAGGCGUUUGGAAAUUGCUGAAGUCUUGGCUGAUUCCUUUUGAUUUUCCCAUGAUGUCAAGCAAAGAGGCACUGAGUUUGAAGGUAGGCCUUAAAAUACAUCCACAGGUACACCUCCAAUUCAGUACACCUCCUAUCAGAAGCUAAUUGUCUAAAAGUUUGACAUCAUUUUCUUGAAUUUUCCAAGCUGCUUAAAGGUGCAGUUAACUUAGUGUAUGUAAACAUCUGACCCACUGGAAUUGUGAUAUAGUCAAUUACAAGUGAAACAAUCUGUCUGUAAACAAUUGUUGGAAAAAUGAUUCGUGUCAUGCACAAAGUAGAUGUCCUAAAUGACUUGCCGAAACUAUAGUUUGCUAAUAUGAAAUCUGUGGAGUGGUUAAAAAAUGAGUUUUAAUGACUUCAGCCUAAGUGUAUGUAAACUUCAACUGUAUAUCUCGAUAAUUAUGGAUUUGCCCCGAAAUGACAUUAAAAGUGACUUUUUAUUUUUAAUCAGAGGAACCAUCAUUUUAACCAAAUGGCCACUGUAGCCAAGUAGAUUUUAAUGCAUGAAAUAAAAAUAUAAAAUUAAUGAAUGUUUUUCACAGAUUUUCACUAAAUUAACACAAGAAUGAUAUUUAAUCAUUUUCAUUUUAGAUGAGCCAAUACAACAAUACAGAUUUUCCUACAUUUGUACUAUGUAGUGCCACCUAGAUAGGCAUGUUCGGGGGGCUCUGUAGCACAUCCCUUUUGAGCUACAGUCACCAAACUUUGAAUAUAUAUAGAUCUCAUCAAGCCGGAUAACUUUCACGCUGACAGUCAUAAGGUCAGGUCAACAGGAAGUUGGCCAUUUUGGAUUCUUUGAAAAUGCAUGCUCUGGAAUUUGAGAUACUCCUCCUAGGGAUUUCAUGUUACAGGUACCAAAUGUGCGCAAUAUCAUGCCAAGACAUUGACGAUGCUAAAUUGUGAAAUUAUUUUUGAUAUAUCGAAUGGUGUUGCCAUGGUGACACGAUAAAUUAACAUCCAAAAAUGGGAAAAAGGAAGUGUCUUAUAUCUUAUGCAUGCAUCGUGUGAUUUAUAUCAAAAUUGAGUUGUAUGUUUGGCCUUGCAGGCUGAUCACAUUGAUGUGGCUACUGUGGGUCAUGGUCAAGGAAGUGUGGCACGUUUAACAGACUUUGAAAUAUCCCUCUUAUAUUUACCUGAAUUGCUUCAUAUUUUUUUACAAUAAUGUCAAGAGAGUGCAGAUUUAAAAUUCUGAAAGGAUUCUUGAUAUCUUACACAGUGUUGCCAUGGCAAUGCAUUAAAGUCAUUUUUCCUUUUUAUGUGUAUUCACAUGUUUUUGAGGUACUUGGAAUGCUUGAAUUUUCAUAAUAUUUUGCACACACAUCAGAGUUGUCAGCCAUUAGCCCUGGGCAAAAGUUAACACAUGGGCGUGGCUGGGGAGCUCUGUAGUGCCACCUUUUGAAAAAAGUGGUGGGGUCAGUUUCUUUUAUGGUCACUAAACUUGCUACAUGUUUUUCUCAUCAAGCCGAACAACUUUCAAAAUUACAGUCAUUAGCUCCACCUAACAGGAAGUUGGCUAUUUUGGAUUGAAUGUGUAUUUUAUUUAAAAUUGCAGGCCCUGAACUUUUGAAUACUCCAUCUAGGGGAUUCAUGUGAUUUGUCACCAAAUUUAGGCAAUAUUAUGCCCAGACAUUGAAGAUGCUAAGUUGCAAACUGUUUUUUUGAUAUAUUGAACGGUGUUGCCAUGGCAAGGCAUUAAAUUAAGGGCAAAAAUGUGAUAGCUCCUUAUAUCUGCUGUGUCCAUUGUAUGAUUAUGAUGAAAAUUCAGCUGUAUGUUUGGUAAUGGGGGCUGAUCACAUUUAUAUGGCUAUUAUGUGUCACAUUAUUACAAUGUUGCAUUUUCUUCUUUGUUCGGUUCGCUUUCACAAAGUUGUUUUGGUGCGGAUCCGAGUGCGAUUGCCGCGUUCAUAUGCCUAAACGAACCGAGCCAAGGUAGAAAAUGCGGCAGUUUCCAAAACAAACGCUCCAAACGAGCCAGGUGUGAAAACGCCCUCACAUGCGCGUGUGCUCCAAGAUUGCACGUGCCUAAAAGGUCAAAUACAUGUCAAAAAAUUCACCAAAAUGCCGGUCUUGGCAAGGUGUUCAUGUAAACACAGAGUGAUGUCUAAAGGUAAACAUUAGGAGAAAAGCUGAUUUUUAUAGAAAUGUAUGACUUGUAAGUUUAAAUGUAAUCUAAUAGACUUGCCGCUGUCUAGUGUAUCCUUAAUGUUAAUCAAACAACAACAAGAAAAUGACAAAACCACUCACUGCUCUUGGCUGAAUAACUUUACUAGUAUAACUCUAGUAUAAAAGUAUUAAAGUAUUAUUCGCACAGGGAAGAUCAGUAGUGAUUUUAUGUCAAGAUCAUUCUGAAUGUUUAAUUGAAUACUUGAUACUGUUUAUUUUUUUAAAGCUGUUAAAAAGCUCUGUUUUCUUUUGUAUUGUUGUUUGGUCUCUAGUGUUUUUUCAUUUUUUUUUUCAUUGCUUUUCUUUUGUUAUUACUGAAUAAUAACUUGAGAGCUUUAUUUUAUAAUUAAGUUAAUUUUUAUUAGGCUAUUAUUUGUUGUGGUAUUGAAGCUGGUAUAAAAAAUCAUCACAUUUCACUAAAGACUACUGAAAUUUUGGUAUUUAGAUAAAUGUAUAUAUUGUGUAUGGUAUCUUGCUGCAAUAACAUGAUGGAAAAAUAGAUAUCAUUCCUUAGAAGUGUGAGUACACCUGCUGUUAAUGAUGGUGAUGAAGGGUUUCCUUUAUUUGACUACCGUGCGUACACAUAACAUAAAAUAACCUCCUCUACCCAGAGCAGUUUACAUUUCUGUCCCAGAUAAUCUAGUUGGUUGCAUAGGUAUAAUACUAUUAGGUUGGCCAUGUAGUAAUUUUAGAAAACAUACAACAGAAACUCUGACAUGAUACUUGAGCAUGAAACCAAUACAUGUCCUUUUUUUUUUUUUUUUUCUCUGGACAAGUAAUGUUUUACUUGGACAAGUGAAUGACCAAUAUACUUGUCCGAAGAACAAGCACAUCACAAUGCUUACUGUUGAGCCCUGCAUGUCAUCUGUACAGAAUGCCAUAAACAGGUUGCAUUCAAAAAUGGAAGUACUUCAGAUCUCUUCCAUUUACAACAGCGCCAUAAACUGCAGUAUGAAGAGUGUUAAACGUUGUGCUGCUGCAACCCGAAAAGUCUUCUGCCCCGAAACAAAGCGCGAUGCAAGCUUCAUUUACCAUCUCACAUGUGGCUUUGACUUACAACUGAACAUUUAGCUCACUUUGUAGAAAAACCGAGAUAUAUAUCAUGCAUCACCAUUCAGCCUAAAAAUACAGAGAUAUGAAUUUUGUCUAUAUCGCCCAGCCCUAUUACAAUGUAAGUGCUGUUAGCAGUUGGAGCCAGCAACUAUUUUCAUUUUCAACAAACAUAUUUGUAACAGUAAAAGGACGGGCAAGCAGGAGGCAGGAACUGGCUGAACGGUAAAUGUAAGUUUAAUGUAAAAACUCAAACUUAAAACAACAUAAAACAAACACAGCCACACAUGCAACUUGGCCACGUGUGUCUCUCUCUCUCUCUCUCUCUCGAACUGGAGCCUCCGGCUCCCCUUUAUCAGCUGAUUCAGCACCGGCCGUGAACCUUACUACACGAAUGCAUGCGCCCACCAUUCUUUGUUUUCCUAGAGCCACCAGGUGGCAAUGGCGCCGUAGUGCUUGGGCCCGUCAUCACUGCUUGCAGCUAUAUUCUUGUUUUUCUUAUUGGGGGCCAACCAGCAAAGAUUACCCUAUUGUAAUUGUACUGAUUUUCUUUUCUUUUUUUCUGCCCUAAAAGUGUCUGGGCGUCAGAGACCGUAAGUCGUGGAGACACCAAACUUGGCAGGAUGAUCCCAAAUCCCCCACACUACUCAGGUGCACAAACGCACACGCAUCUGACCCUAGGUGGUGCUAUAAUAAACACUUUUAUUUUUUGGCUCAUAUCUCUGCAACCGUAAGGGCUAAAAUAGAAAUUCAUUUUUCCUCCGAUUCCUUGAGUCAAGCCCUACAAAAUGUAUAUCUCUGAUUUCAUUUCCAUGUAUAAUUUUUUUUCCGCCAUUUUUGAAUUUUUUUGAAAAACCUAUUUUUUCGAACUUCUCCUAGACCGUUAGUCCAAUCAGCAUGCAAUUUGGUAUACAUCUACAGACCCUCCUGACAAAAAGUUAUCAAAAGAAUUUCGAUACGUGAAAUCGUUCCAAAGAUAUUAACGAUACAGUUCCUUUGGUUUAAUGCAAUUUGAGUAAUUGAUCACUGUCUACUCAUCGCAAACUCCAAAUGUAACCAAACUCGGUGCACAUAGUCAACAGGACGUUUAGAAGAUGUCAGCAAAGUUUCAUACAAUUCUGCCCCUAGGGGGCGCUACAAAACAAAAAAAAAACUGUCAUAACUUUUCAGCCUUUUGAGCAACAAAGUUCAAAUUAAAUAUGCAUCUUCGCUGGUUCAAAUGCUAGGAUAUUCUUAAAAAAUCGAUUUGACAAAUUAACAAAAAUAGCUGCCAACGGCCAAUCACAUUUUAGCACCUUAUAACUCAUAUUGGGAAUGGCUGAGGGUUAUGGAAAUUACUAUACACAAGCAGGGUUUAGCCGCAUAUAAAAUUGUGACAAUCGGCCACACGGUGGCGGUAUAAUUAGCUAAUUCACGUUUUUGCUCAUAACUCCGGAACCGUAUAGGCUACAAUACAAAUUUGUAGCUUCUCUGAAUCCACCAGUGCCCCACAAUGAUAUGGUCACUUAUUUUCCAUUUCUGCAAGAAAUUUUUUUCACAAUUUUAAUUUAUUCGAAAAUAUACUUUUUCGAACUCGUCAUAGGCUGUUUGCCCGAUUCUCAUGAAACUUGGUAUACAUCUUCUACAGAACCUCCUGACAAAAUUCAUUCCAAAGAUAUAAGCAAAUAUGUUUUGGGCGUGGUUUGUAAUGACUAAUUAGCCUGUAUAUUGUGAGUGCAAUUUUAAAACUUAGCAAAACUUAAAAAUAAAAACAUGGAAAAGGGACAUUUCUGAGGUCACUCGCAAAAUUACAGCAAUUUGGCUAGAACAAUAACAGAAGAAAUAGCUAUUUUUACAACUGCAUUUUUAAAUAAUUAGAAAUGUUGUGAAAGACAAUCUGUUUUACUGUUUGUCCACCAGAGAGAGCCACACAACAAGAAAUGUCUUGUUUUUGAUUGCACUAUUUUAAGCAACACAUUAAUCUCGCAGUAACACAGUAAUGUAAUUAUUGAUGUAUUGCAGCUCGUUACAGAUAUAGGUGAGUCCAGGGGUUAUGUUAACCGAAAAGUCUGUCAUUUUUCACUGUACUGGUGAGUUUGUCAGGUUUGUUCUGUGUGUGUGUUCAGGUGUCACUUGUUGAGCAACUUGGUUGCUCGGUGAUCAGCAAUUCUUUGGAGAAGUUGAACACGCGGCUAAUUGAUUAUCAGCGCACCUGUCUUUCAUUUUCUCUCCCUAUCCACAAUAUUCUCAGCGAGUCCACUAUAUUUCGCAAGGUGGGUGGAAUUUCUGGAUGGCUAGCAGAAGUGUGAUUGGUUGCCGUUUUGUGUGUAGCCGGUCACUGCUUGCUUGCGUGUCAUGCGGAUAGAUUCUUGCUUGUUGUAAGAUGUCUUAUAAAUUUCCCGGAUCAUGUGUGCAGUUAAUGAUUAUUCUGUUAAUUAAGCGAAACUAAAGUUUAGUCUAAAACAGCAAUGUUAUUUUCAGAAACCACUCUCAAAACACAGCACUCCAGUUCCAGAUACUGACUCUGUCAUCGGCUGCCUACAGAAGGAUUGACUUAGAAACAUCUGUUUGAAAAAAGCUUGGAAUAAUUUGUUUGUGUGCUCUUUUCACUUUAUUGGCAAGAAGUCAACAGUGGGGGUUACUUACAUUAUCCACUGUUACGGUCCGGCUACGAUAGACGACCAGAAACGGAGCGCAAUGAAUUACAUAAACUAUAGCAUUAUUGUGCUAACAGAUGUGUGUACAUGUGCUGAAAGUUCAUUAGAAAUUUUGAGAGUUUGUUCAUUUCUAUUCAGUGUUUGCCUUUGUGAAUGUUUCAUGUGUUUUGAAAUGGCAUUAUUUCGGAGUAUAAAAAGGAUUUUUUUUUUUACAGUGUUUUUCCUGACUUGUGACUAUGUUUUCAACUGUUUUCAUGCUGUGAUGCUAAAUGGAUAAAUUCUACAGGUGAAGAACAUCAUUAUUAGAUGAGACAUGUACAGUAGUGAGAUGUUUUAUUACGUUUGAAAUUAAUUGCAUUAUGAUUUUCCUUCUUCCUGCAUUUUUCCUGCCUGCAGUUUACUUUCUUUUGAGUGUCUUUGCAGAAUGUGCAUGUCUUUGUGCAUGCACAUUAAUUCAUUAUCAAUUAAAGUUAUUUGUACAGUGCUUUUAAUAAUACAUACUCAAGUUGCUUUACAGUGAACAUUGAACUUUUGUGUACAAUGUUUAUAGUGUAUGUCCAAAUAAAUGUUUAUUUGUAUUGCAUGUAGUUCUUUUUGUACAGUACAGUUUAUUGUGUGACCGCUAAGACAUUGUUAUUUCCUACACAAGAACAAUAAAUUCAAUCUAUCAACAGGAUCAGUUGUUUAGUCAACACUAAAACAUUUCAUGUAGGUUAAAGCAUUUCGAUACAGAUAUUAUGUAAGUAAACUUAGAAUUAUAAAGCUAGAUUGAGCUUACUACACAGUCAUCUCCCACAAAAUAAUUGUAUUUUAUCUGAAAAACAGCAGCAUGACAGUCUCAUCGCUGUCCUGUAAUACACGAGCAUCCUGCUGUCUGGACCUCCCCUGAUUUUUGAACUCAUCCUAGGCUGUUUGCCCUAUUCGCACAAAACUUUGUAUACAUUAUCUACAGACAUUUACUGACAAAAUGUUAUCAAAAUAAUUUUGAUAUAAGGUAAAUCGUUCAGAAGAUAUUAGCCGAUAGGUUUUUGGGUAUGGCCUAUUAUGACUAAUUGACACAUUUAGUGAGCACAUAUUUUAAACUUAACAAAACUUAGUAUACAUGCACAAAACAACAUUCUGAGGUAACAUGCAAAAUGUCAUCAAUCUGGCAUGGCUGUAACAUAAAUACCUAAUUUCUCAACUGUAUUUAAAGCCUUCAUAGGCAUUAAAGGCAGUACUGUUUGUCCACCAGAGGGUGCCACAUAAAUAUAAAUCAUUCAAAGAGUAUUUAAAGAUAUACUAAGGGUGGGUUUC
This is an RNA transcript of Myxocyprinus asiaticus (Chinese sucker), 8504 nucleotides long. It is a transcript of the gene named guanine nucleotide-binding protein subunit beta-4-like, with no coding region annotated. The transcript is spliced from 2 exons. Lineage: Eukaryota; Metazoa; Chordata; Actinopteri; Cypriniformes; Catostomidae. The record is from RefSeq and is a predicted model, not a curated record.